This 251-nucleotide ribosomal RNA is filed under the name uncultured prokaryote. RNAcentral describes it as "partial 16S rRNA". It matches the Rfam family "Bacterial small subunit ribosomal RNA", at positions 525 to 775 of the family's 1533-position model. The record is from RNAcentral.
ACGGAGGAUGCAAGCGUUAUCCGGAUUUAUUGGGUUUAAAGGGUGCGUAGGCGGCCUUGUAAGUCAGUGGUGAAAACCUGCAGCUCAACUGUAGGCGUGCCAAUGAAACUGUGAGGCUUGAGUGACGUUGAGGCAGGCGGAAUGUGUAGUGUAGCGGUGAAAUGCUUAGAUAUUACACAGAACACCGAUUGCGUAGGCAGCUUGCUAAAGGUUAACUGACGCUGAUGCACGAAAGCGUGGGGAUCGAACAG